CACUUGGGCAAAACCGCACCAGUAUCUGCAGCCUUCAUAGCAUUGGCCUCCUUCAGCACUUGAGCUGCCCUGUCAACUUGUAAAGCCAAGGAAUUUGGGGAAUUCAAGAGGUUAACUAUUUCAGACUUGCUCAUCUCCAACAGCAUUCCAGUCAUCUUUCCUGCAAGCUCAGGCUACACGCACGGGAGAAUCAAUUGAUUGUGAAAUUAACCAUGGCACAGAUAGACAAACAUGCACAUACAACGCUUGCAGAAAAGCACAGUUAGAUAUGUAGAGGUUUCCCACAGAUUGAGAUAAUAUUUCUAGAAGAGUUUUAGAAUCAAUGAACCUGAAGAUUCUGGACAAGAGAGGGCAGAAGAUUCACGAGGUCUUUCUUGGAGUUACUAGGAGAUCUUGCUGCGCUAAGACAUGCUGUGGCUUGUAACCCUUUGGAGGUUCAGAUCUCGAUCACGAAGAUUAGAUGUUGUUCGUUUCACAAACUGCAAUGCAAUUUUAACAGAAAGCAGGAAACAACUGAGCAAAAGAAAACAACAGCAUUAUGCAAAGCUUAAGCAGCACCACUAGGAAAUGGGUUUCAGAUUGGUAAAGAUUUUUUUCUUUAAAGAUCAAUCUGGACAAUUAACCACAACAGUCCAAGAGCUUCAAAAAAUGGUAGCAUUAUAUGCAGUUCAUGCUCUGGCUAGUCAUUUUCUCAACAAAUAAGAAAAAACAAAGUAUACAAUGAGAUGUUAGAAGCACAGUAACAGUGACUACUACUUUUUCUUCAAAAGAGAAGUUAGAGCAUACGUGAGGUUGGAAGGACUGUGCUGUUGGGUUCUGAGUGCUUUGGUAUAUUUGUCCCGUUGAAAUCUGUGGUUUUACAAGCUAUUAAGAAUAACAACUGAUAAACUUAGCUCAGUUAAUUUCAAAAA
Molecule: non-coding RNA, 911 nt
Organism: Jatropha curcas
Lineage: Eukaryota; Viridiplantae; Streptophyta; Magnoliopsida; Malpighiales; Euphorbiaceae
Source: RefSeq, a predicted model, not a curated record